GCCUGCUUCGAGUUCUGUGUCUCCCCCUCUCUCCGCCCCUCCCCGUCCCCCCCCCUUCUCACUCUCUCAAAAAUAAAUAAACAUUAAAAAAAAGAAGAAAGAAAGAAAGAAACUAAAGAAGGGGAAACAAGUAGAGGUGGGCUGACGGAAGGAGCCACCAGGUCCGGGGAGGAAUUAGGCAACAACCCGAAGACAGUCAAGUACAUGUAAACUCCCAAAUUCGAACCUGAAGAUGUCUUCUUGGUAGCAAGCUUGACUAGAGCUAUUUUUGCAGUGCCUUAAAAUGAAUAGGUGAUGCUUUUUUCCCCCUAACUUCUAUCACCAAAGUGUGUGUGUGUUUCACUUUCCUUGCUUCACUAUGCCUUUUCUUGAGCAUUCUAUGUGAAUGUGUACAAUACAUAUUUCAAAUGGAACACAUUGACUUUAGGGAACUCGGAUCAAAACGGCCACUGUUGAGGGCCAUCUGAAAUCCAUGGGCUCAAUUUCCCUCUUAGCAAUCAAGCAGCACGUCUCACACUAUUAAGAAAAAAGCAUUCACUGCACACCUUCAGAACAUACCUCAGAGAUGGUCGUAUCCCCAAAGAUGCUCUGUGUGAGCUAUCAUUACUCUGUGUCUCCUUGGCUGCCUUUUGCUCUCCAGUUUUCUUUGCCUGCCACGAAUAAAGUGAAGACAGGAAAUAUCAGAAAAAGGAAGAAGCGGCAAUCAAGUUAAUUUUGCCACUUGUUCCUGCUCAGCUGCCCCGCCAUGAUGUGAUGCUGAGGCUUCGAAUGUGAUGAGGGCGUGCAGUCCCUCCCUGGCGGAGCCCCAUACUGACAGACCAGUGGCCCGUGCAGCAGGAAGGCUGGGCACUUCUCUGCGGAUGGAAUGGGGCUCCCAUUCCCAUUUGCGCCAAGUACCGAAUAAGCUCACGCUCCCAAAACCUGAGAUAAGGGGUGGGGUUCGAACCCCAGGGGCUUUGCCUGUAACUUCAACUGCCAGUAUCCCUGAAGCUAAGCUUCUUGUCAUGACCCCUGCAAAGUUCUCACGUGGAAGAAUCCAACCCUCCUCGCUGCAGGAAGACACUUGCUCACACUUAAAGCUCCUUCCAACUGGAAAUGGAAAGGACCUUAGAUAGCAAGAAAGACCUCUUUGUUCCCUGAUCAUGAAAUAUUUCAGCAAACUGAACAAUACUGAGGAUGAAUGCCCAUAUACCCCCUACCUAACUUUAGCAAGUCCUACUAUGUUACUUUGCUGGUUCAGAUCUUUUUUCAAGAAGGUUAAAUAUGAUUGAUGUCUAUGGGGCUUCUGUUCUGGCAUCGGGGCAGACCAGGAUAACCUGAAAGGCUUCCUGCAGCAAAACACCUAGAAAAUACUAGGUACAACUUGUCAAAGAGAAUUUUAAUGCAUAGUGGAGCUUGCCAGAAGGUAAGGGAAACUCCCCUGGGCCAGAACAGCAAGAGAACGGAACUCCAUAAGCAGCUGCUGUUGCUGCCUAAGGCAGGAGGGUGUGGGAGUGUGGGACCAUGUUUCACAGACUUGGUCUUCAAUGCCCACACACAGAGCAGAGACUGUGACCUUGUUAGGGGGUAUUGGAAGUAAGACACUCCUCACACAGACGAAGUUGGAACUUUCUAGAAGCAAUACUUAACUCUCAGAUAAAGUGAACAUUAGAAAAGUUCACACAGGAAGACAAGGGAAUCUGUCUAUCGGAGUCUGAGUUCUGGGUAGAAAAGUCUCCCCAGAGAAUUCUUAACCAAUGUCUAGGCCUCAUAGGCUUCUGGGUUUAAAUAUACACUCCACUCAUAUUUGGGGAACUAAAAAAAUUGAUGCUGAGCUGGUGAUAUCCUUUGGCUACCUGGCAUAAGCAAAUGAAAUAUCUCUGUACAGGACCCACCCACAAGCCAGGGCUCACAGGGGUCCCACAGAUAAAACCCUUCUAAAGAUGAGUUCAGAGGUAAUAAUGCUUAAGGGAACAAUUUGCCCCUUGUCUUGUAUUUUUUUUCUCCACUCCUUUCAGCUACAAGCCACCCCUGUUGUAUGAUACUGUUCCUGUUAGCAGCAGAAUGACGCCCAAGAACUGUGUGCCCCUCCCCUAUCUUGUUCUUUCCUCCCUUACAGCAAAACCAUUAAAUCCCUGAUAAUUCCCAUGCAUUAUCUUAAACUACACUGAGUCCAUAAGUAAUACAUAUAUUUGUUUGCAACCUCAAGCUUAUGGAUGAAGAAAAUGAUGCUCGAUUACAAAGGCGUGUGAAUCAGCACAUGCCAGAAUUGAGUAGAACACAGGUCCACUGAUUCCCGGGCUCCUACUCUUUCCAAUUCACUAUUUUGCUUCUCUCUUUCUUACAGCCAAUAUUUGCAUUAUUAAAACUCGCUUCAUUUCUCUGAUAAUGCACCAACAAUAUUGGAGAGAAAGCACCCGAGAAGUUGGUUUGUUUUAAAAACUGUGACUAAUUUCCAAGACAGAUGAUCUCUGAUUGGAUGAUUGUCACUUGACUGUCCACCAGAGCAUGGCUGAUGUAGAGAAUUGGGGAGGGGUGUGUCAGGAUCACAUUUUGAAGUCCAUUAAGAGGGGAUAAAGCCACAUGUGAUCAAAAAUGACCAAUGAAGAUCUACUAAAUCACCCAGACACUGAAAAGCCCAGGGGUGGUGGGGCGGUCGAAAGACUGGAGGGGAGGCUGGAUCAGUCAAGGACUCUGUUUUGCUGGAAGUCCAUUGUUAAAUGAGGUGCACAUCCCAGAGUCCCGACAGAGGCUGAGUGUUCCCCAUGACUUAUGUGGAAGGUGAGGGACCCUUCUGGCAUCAGCAUCACCAGAAGGUUGUCAGCAUUUCAAGGGCAGGGCCCAUGCCUGAUUCAAUAUCUUUGUAUCUUGAGCACUCAGAAAAGAAUACGGCACCUGUCAGGGCCCAUGAAAAAGUUCACUGGAUGAUGAAUUAGGCCACUCCCCUGGCCCAGUAUAAUAACCAGCAAAUCCCCAACUCUUCUGACCACACAUUCAAGGCAGGCAGGUGGGAGAAGGCAAGGGAGACCGGAGGUGGGAGGCUCUGAACUCUACAGCUACAGGGCCACACUCUACAGCUGUGGCCCACAGCUACAGGGCCAGCAGUCCAGCUGGAGACCCUAGAACAGCCAUCACACUGAAAGCACUACCCCUUCUCCUGACCCACAUGUCCCCACCACUCUCUACAAAUUACCCCAGCUGUUUGACAGCACCUGCUGUAACUUUCUCUCCUGUAGCUUUCUCCUCCCCUGAUCCACUUUGGCUGCCAUGAUACUGGGCCAUCACUGAGAUGAUGAUGCUCUGUGCCUGGAGAGACAGGAGGGGCCUGUGGGCUCAAGUGCAGUCCGGCCUGUUGGCUUGGGUUCAGGGCCUCUCCCUAUUCCAGACACUGUUGGCCAGGGUCCCACGGCCCUCACCGACUACUGAGUCUCUGAGUGAUUGCCCUUGGAGCGGCCCCUCCCAGCCACACAGCACACCCCGGCCUCUUUCCAAACAGUGUUUACUGAGAGUGAGGCCAAAAGGAAGGAAACUGGGGAGGGAAGGAGACAGUAUUUCCGAGUUCUGAAACAAACUUAAAUAUCAACUCUAACCUGGCCUGAGCUUUUCUACAACACCAGUCUGUGGAAGCCCCCUCACCACUGUGAACUCCUUAGACUCAUUUCUAGGAAAAAAGCCACAUUUCUGUCUGUCAACCAUUAAUUAUCCUGCGUUCUCCCUCCUACACCCCACAGUCCCACCAUCCUUACCCACUCUGCUCCUUCCUAACCUUCCACUGGCACUGUUCUGCCCUCACUGACCCUCGCCUGGGGGCCCUGUCAGCACAGCACACCCUUCCCACCAGAGCUGCCCACACCCAGGAAGUAGCAGCUCCCCUGGGAAGACUUUUACUGGUGGCUCAGUCAGACGGACGUAAUUUCCUGUCACCACAGUCAGCAUCCCCAUUUGUAGUUCUUGUCCUUUGGAGGUUCCUGAAGUGACUUUUAGAAACUGAAGAAAAGACACAAACCACUAAGACUUGUGAGCCCUUGGGAGACUCCUCCCCUAGGGCAUCAGGGCAGACAGGCCUGUCUCAAAGGGGUGCAUCUGACCAUGACUUACCCAACUCACAAGGAAUCCCUUUCCCCAGCCAAGCAAUCCACCAUCACUCUGCGCUCUGCACCCCACUCUGCGCUCUCCCAGUUCCACAGCACCCACCGCCUCAAAUGGCGCUGGCCAUGAAGGACUCUCUCUGCAGUGAAGGGCCCCAACACUUGCCUCCUGCCACACUGGCUCCUUGUUCCAGGAGUUCCCCACCGCCAUGCUCUGCUUGUGGCAGACCCUCUAGUGCCAGAUGCACAGGUACAAGCCACCUUGGCCUUCGGGGCCUUGUCCCAUGUCCAGCAUAAAGAGGACAGCAGGAAAAUGCCAGAGGUGGAACGAUCCUCCACAUUAAGCUGAGGAAAGGGACAAAGCAUUCUAAGCCCCACGGAGUGCCACCACACACAAAACUCUUGUCACAUGGAGAAGGCAAGAGGGCAGGGAGCUGCCUGGACGGAGCUCCACCACGGCACCCAGGCACCGAUGCACAGCCGCCUGGCACGCCUGUCCCCCACAAGACCGUGAGCUCCUGGGGACAGGGACCAUGUCUUAUUCACCUUUGCUUCCCCGUGCACAGCAUGCACAGCUGCUCGAUGAAUAAAUGAAUGAAAGCAAUGAAUGGAAACUGCAAACAAAUGGGUCCACUCAGGAACCAGUCAGGGUGCCACCUAAGGAGGAAGGACUUCUCUGAAAGAACCUUCAUCUUCAACUGGAGUUGAGUUAGAGCUCUCCCUCCACUGAAAGGGGCAAUGGGGCUCAGGGGAUAAUGAAGAAUUGGGUCCACCCAGCCCAACAUGAAGACAGGCUAUCUCAGAGACUGAACAGAAGGAACCCGGCUUCUGAUAGUCUCCAGGGACCGCCUCUCACUCCCACUGCUCUUACCUGAGCCCUUCCCAUAGGUCAAGGCCUAUUUCAAACAUACCUUGGCUGGGAAGCCUACCUAUGCUCCCUCACACCACCACUCCCUCUGCCUCACAAAAGGAGCUUGCCUUUGACCUCCUGGAGCCUGGUGCCCAGAUGGCCCACUCAGAUGUGGAGAUGGGACAAAUGUCAGGAAACAAACAAAAAACAUCAAAAAAAAAUAACCAAGGAUUCAGUGCUUCCUUUUAUUUUCUGUUUGAGUGUCUUGUUUCCACAGUUGAACUAGAAACUCCUGAGGUAAAGAACACGAUCUCCCCUUCCCUGAUCUCCCCACAGCAGCCAGCACUGGACUGGGCUAUGCAGUCUGCAAGCGUCACUGUACUGCCCGAGCAAAGGGCCUCACAGGCCUCUGUCUCAGGUGCAAGGUCCCAAAUGGAAGCCUCCCAAAUGCAAAUGGGCCUACCAUAGAUCCCCACUCCCUGUUUAAGGAAAAGGCACCUACAGUACUGGUUACCCCAUCUGUCUGUGAAGGGCAGGGUAGAGAAGGUGAGCCUCCUCACUUCAAAUCCCAGCUUUACUACUUUGUAGUCAUGAGAUCUAGAGCCAAAUUAUUUCUCUUUCUAUCCUGGGCUUCCUCAUUUAUUAAGUGAGGGUCAAAAGUAGUUAUUUUUCUAGGGGCAUCUGGUUGGCUCAGUCAGUAGAGCAGGCAACUCUUAAUCACAAGGUCAUGAGUUCAAGCCCCAUGUUGGGCAUGAAGCCUACUUAAAAUUAAUUAAUUAUUUCAGUAGUUAUUUUUCUAGGUCAUUGCGAGGAUACAAAUAAUACAUGUAAAUUGACUGGCACAUGGUAGGCCCUGAAGAGAUCCAAUAUGGUCAUCAUCAAUUCACUGUUAGAGCAAAUAGAAUCAGCCACAUGUGCUCACUGACCAAGCAAGCUCCAGAAUGCUGCUGCCCCGUCCUGAUUUCCCGACCAGCACAUCCUCACACCAGAGGGUAAGGGAGCAUUGCUUGGAGAAGUGGCAGGAGCCCCCCGCCCCAUAGGUUAUGCUAGGCCCAAUCACGCAGACUGCCCCCUCUUCUUCAGCGAUUUUUCUGUCUACUGCUUUCAUAUUAGGCUUAGUAUAUCUGCCCCCCAAAAUCCUCUCCAAACUGCAAUCCCAAUUUUUUGGCAACUGCAAAACACUGAUAAUGUAAUAAUUUUUUAUCAGAGGUCUUUUUUUAUUAUUUGAACCUUUUACAAUAACAAUUUUUUUUUUUACUAAUUUGAAAGGUCAAUGUAGUAAGUAAAAAAAAAAAAAAUCAAGGAAGUUGGUUUUUAUCACAACUUUAAACUGUACACCAUUCAACCCAAAAAUUCCAUUCUGAGCAUCUAUCCUAGGAAAGCACUCACAUGUAGAUAAAGUAACUUGCACCAUUUUUAGGAGGUUUUACGGCAAAAAUGUCCACCGCCAGCAGGGGAACAGAUUAGUAGUAAUCAGUACAUUAGGACACAUCUAAACUAUUGGAAUUCAGCAACAAAAAAGCAAAAUUUUUUGAACUCCAGAUGCUAUGCCUAUACAAAUCACAGGUCUGUUACCACUUUUCCACCAAGGCCCAACUGCAGAAAUACAAGGCAGAAUUUAGCUGUCAUGAGAAGAGGAAGUGCUGAAACAAUCCCAGCCCCAAGACCCGCACACACAGAGUCUGCCUAAGUCUAAGGAUGACCAGAAUGAUGGAAAACCCCUACCAGUCCCAACCUGAGCAGUAGCAAGUAAUAAGCCACCACAGUCUACUGCCGGAGGGGAGGCAAGAGCAUGCAGAGACACCCUCUCUGUGGUAUAAGUGUGCACUUGUGAAAGCUGGUGGUGUAUCAGGAACACAGAAAAACCCUCUUGACACCCCCAGGCCCAACUUUGAGCACAAGUUAACAGCCACCCACUGCUAAAGGAAUUUGAAGUCUGUGAUGCUCUGGAGUGAUGACAUGAAAAACAUCAAAAACUAACCAUCUCAUGACUAGAUUGAUUCCACCUCUAUACUAACAACCUGACAAAAGAGCCAUGCUCAUUUCUGGGCAUAAAUACUGAAUGUCUUAGUCUCUUCUAGUUUUCCAAAAUGAUGUCCAGCAUUAAAUUUAAAAUGUCAAGACAACUGACUGGGUGGCUUAGUGGGCUGCGUGUCUGACUCUUGAUUUUGGCUCAGGUCAUGAUCUUACAGUUCGUAAGUUCAAGCCCCGCAUUGGGCUCUGUGCUGACAGUGUGGAGCCUGCUUGGGAUUCUCUGUCUCUCCCUCUCUCUCUCUGCCCCUCCCUCCCCCCUCUCUCAAAAUAAAUAAGACUUAAAAAGGGGGGUGGUGUUUGUGUGGCUUGGUUGGGUAAGUGCCCAACUUCGGCUCAGGUCAUUAUCUCAGUUUGUGAAUUCAAGCCCCACAUCAGGCUCUGUGUGGGCAGCGUGGAGCCUGCUUUAGAUUCUCUCUCUCCCUUUCUCUCUGCCCCUCCCCUGCCUGCACUCUCUGUCUCAAAAAUAAAUAAAUAAACAUUUAAAAAAUGUCAAGACAAAGCAAGGUUAAAUAAUCUAUUAUCAAAAAAUAAAGAAUAAACACAACUCUAUUCAAAGAUGACCCAGAUCUUGGACCCAUCAAAGAGUUUAACUAUUAAAUGGUCCAAAGGAAAAGGUAGAUGGGGAAUUUCAGCAGACAAGGAAACUAUAAAAUAGAGUCAAAUGGAAAUGCUCGAUAUAAAAAACAUGAUGUCAGAGAUGAAGAAUUACUUUAACAGGCUGAUCAGCAAACUAUACACACCUGACGAAAGAAUCACCGAGCUCAAAGAACAGGUCAAUAGAAAUUAUCUAAAUUGAAACACAAAGAGAAAUGAGUGAAAGAAAAAAUACCCAGAAAGAAUAUUCAAAAUUUGUGGGAUGAUAUCAGUCUAGAAUAAAUGGACUUGCAAAAUAGAAUGCAGAAUAAAUAUUUGAACUAAUGGUCAAGAAUUUUCUAAAAUUAAAGGCAAUAAACAAUACACCCCAAAAAAAACCUAGGUACCUCAGAAGACAAUGGAAUGACUUCUUUAAAGUACUAAAAGGGGGGUAGGGGGGAGACCAAAAUCGUCAACCCAGAAUUUUAUAACAAUGAAAGCAUCUUUCAAAAUUGAAGGUGAAGUUCAUCAAAAAGUUAAGCAGAAUUACCGUAUAUGACCAGGAAUUCCAUUCUCUUAGAUAUCUACCCAAAAGAAUUGAAACCAGGUAUUCAAACAUGUUAAAAGAAUGUUUAUAGGAACAAUAUUCACAAUAGCCAAAAUGUAGAAACAA
Molecule: long non-coding RNA, 8197 nt
Organism: Felis catus (domestic cat)
Lineage: Eukaryota; Metazoa; Chordata; Mammalia; Carnivora; Felidae
Exons: 2
Source: RefSeq, a predicted model, not a curated record